This 89-nucleotide transfer RNA is filed under the name Bacteroidota bacterium. Its description in RNAcentral is "tRNA-Ser". It matches the Rfam family "tRNA". Rfam says of the family: Transfer RNA (tRNA) molecules are approximately 80 nucleotides in length. Their secondary structure includes four short double-helical elements and three loops (D, anti-codon, and T loops). Lineage: Bacteria; Pseudomonadati; Bacteroidota. RNAcentral also lists the same sequence under 3 other names. The record is from RNAcentral.
GGUGAGGUGGGUGAGUGGCUUAAACCAACGGUUUGCUAAACCGUCGUACGUGGAAACAUGUACCGAGAGUUCGAAUCUCUCCCUCACCG